Molecule: ribosomal RNA, 494 nt
Filed under: uncultured bacterium
Lineage: Bacteria
Description: partial 16S ribosomal RNA
Rfam family: Bacterial small subunit ribosomal RNA
Source: RNAcentral
GACGAACGCUGGCGGCGUGCUUAACACAUGCAAGUCGAACGGUGAAGCGCCUUCCUUUUUGGUGGGUGUGGAUGAGUGGCGAACGGGUGAGUAACACGUGAGUAACCUGCCCCCUUCUUCUGGAUAACCGCAUGAAAGUGUGGCUAAUACGGGAUAUUCUGGGUCUGUCGCAUGAUGGGUCUGGGAAAGAUAUUGUUUCGGUGGGGGAUGGGCUCGCGGCCUAUCAGCUUGUUGGUGGGGUGAUGGCCUACCAAGGCGGUGACGGGUAGCCGGCCUGGGAGGGUGGACGGUCACACUGGGACUGAGACACGGCCCAGACUCCUACGGGAGGCAGCAGUGAGGAAUAUUGCACGAUGGGCGCAAGCCUGAUGCAGCGACGCCGCGUGAGGGAUGGAGGCCUUCGGGUUGUGAACCUCUUGCGCCAGUGAAGCAGGCCUGCCUCGUUUGUGGGUGGGUUGACGGUAGCUGGAGAAGAAGCGCCGGCUAACUACGUG